This 72-nucleotide transfer RNA is filed under the name Bos taurus (domestic cattle). It matches the Rfam family "tRNA". Rfam says of the family: Transfer RNA (tRNA) molecules are approximately 80 nucleotides in length. Their secondary structure includes four short double-helical elements and three loops (D, anti-codon, and T loops). The record is from Rfam by way of RNAcentral. RNAcentral also lists the same sequence under 4 other names. Lineage: Eukaryota; Metazoa; Chordata; Mammalia; Artiodactyla; Bovidae.
UCCCUCAUAGCUCAGUUAGUAAAGAAUCUGCCUGCAAUGCAGAAGACCCGGGUUCGAUUCCUGGGUUGGGAA